RNAcentral lists this long non-coding RNA (3581 nucleotides) under Zea mays. Its description in RNAcentral is "long non-coding RNA (ZMAY_LNC005169)". Lineage: Eukaryota; Viridiplantae; Streptophyta; Magnoliopsida; Poales; Poaceae. The record is from RNAcentral.
UGGUUUCGACACUAAAAUCCUUUAGUGUCGAUGUUUAGGUUUAGGGUUUAGGGAUAGGAUUUAGGGUCUAGGUUUCCAUAAAAUCGUGUGCUAUAGCUCACGGGUGGCAAAAAAUGCCAUAACGGCCUCCCCGGUCUAAAACGAAGGUGGCUGGUCGGAUACAUAAAAUUGGUUGUUUGGCCACGAAAAUGUGUGAUAAAGCUCGCGGAAGGCCAAGAACCGCUUUAAGGUGCUCCUGGGACAAAAACACGUGUGGCGGAACGCGGACAUAAAAAAGGUCGCUGGGCCAUGUAAACGUGUGUUAUAGCUCACGGGAGGCCAAAACAGCCUUACCAGUCUUAAUGGUCAAAUCAUGGGUUGCGGACGGGAGGCACGAAAUCGCUGUUCGAUGACAAAAACAUGUGUCACGAGAGGCCCUAAAACCUAAACCCUAAACCCUUAACCCUACAGCUUGUGGGAAGCCAAGAACAACUUUAAGGUGCUCUAGGGACCAAAACGCGGUUGGUGGAACACGUACUUAAAAAUGGUUGCUCGACCCUGAAAACGUGUGCUAUAGCUUACGGGAGGCCAUAAACAACCUUAGCAGUCUCAGUGGCCAAAUCAUGGGUGGCGGACGGGAGGCAUGAAAUCGUUGUUUGACGAUGAAAACAUGUGUCACGGGAGGCCAAAAAUAGCCUUACCGGCCUCCGGGGACCAAAAUGUGUACUAUGGUUUGGACACUAAAAUUCUACUAUGUCAGCAAAGUUGAUAUGGUUAGGAGACUCAAAUUUCAUUUUACUAUGGUUUCGACACUAAAAUCCUUUAGUGUCGAUGUUUAGGUUUAGGGUUUAGGGAUAGGAUUUAGGAUCUAGGUUUCCAUAAAAUCGUGUGCUAUAGCUCACGGGUGGCAAAAAAUGCCAUAACGGCCUCCCCGGUCUAAAACGAAGGUGGCUGGUCGGAUACAUAAAAUUGGUUGUUUGGCCACGAAAAUUUGUGAUAAAGCUCGCGGGAGGCCAAGAACCGCUUUAAGGUGCUCCUGGGACAAAACCACGUGUGGCGGAACGCGGACAUAAAAAAGGUCGCUGGGCCAUGUAAACGCGUGCUAUAGCUCACGGGAGGUCAAAACAGCCUUACCAGUCUUAAUGGUCAAAUCAUGGGUGGCGGACGGGAGGCACGAAAUCGCUGUUCGAUGACAAAAGCAUGUGUCACGGGAGGCCCUAAAACCUAAACCCUAAACCCUUAACCCUACAGCUUGUGGGAAGCCAAGAACAACUUUAAGGUGCUCUAGGGACCAAAACGCGGUUGGUGGAACACUUACUUAAAAAUGGUCGCUCGACCAUGAAAACGUGUGCUAUAGCUUACGGGAGGCCAUAAACAGCCUUAGCAGUCUAAGUGGCCAAAUCAUGGGUGGCGGACGGGAGGCAUGAAACUGUUGUUUGACGAUGAAAACAUGUGUCACGGGAGGCCAAAAAUAGCCUUACCGGCCUCCGGGGACCAAAAUGUGUACUAUGGUUUGGACACUAAAAUUCUACUAUGUCAGCAAAGUUGAUAUGGUUGGGAGACUCAAAUUUCAUUUUACCAGGUUUAGUGUUUAGGGAUAGGAUUUAGGGUCUAGGUUUCCAUAAAAUCGUGUGCUAUAGCUCACGGGUGGCAAAAAAAAUGCCAUAACGGCCUCCCCGGUCUAAAACGAAGGUGGCUGGUCGGAUACAUAAAAUUGGUUGUUUGGCCACGGAAAUGUGUGAUAUAGCUCGCGGGAGGCCAAGAACCGCUUUAAGGUGCUCCGAGGACAAAAAGACGUGUGGCGGAACGCGGACAUAAAAAUGGUCGCUAGGCCAUGAAAACGUGUGCUAUAUCUCAUGGGAGGCCAAAACAGCCUUACCAGUCUCAAUGGUCAAAUCAUGGGUGGCGGAUGGGAGGCACGAAAUCGCUGUUCGACGACAAAAACAUGUGUCACGGGACGCCAAAAUAGCGUUACGGGCCUCGGGGGACUAAAACAUGUACUUUGGUUUGGACACUAAAAUUCUACCAUGCCUGCAAGCUUACUAUGGUUUGGAGACUCAAACUUCAUUUUACUAUGGCUUGGACACUAAAACCUUUUAGUGUCAGUGUUUAAGGUUAGGGUUUAGGGAUUGGAUUCAGGGUCUAGGUUACCAUAAAAACGUGUGCUAUAGCUCACUUGUGGCAAAAAAUGUCGUAACGGCCUCUCCGGUCUAAAACGUAGGUGGCAGGUCGGAUACAUGAAAUUGGCUCUUUGGCCACGAAAACGUGUGCUACAACUCAUGGGAGGCCAAGAACAACUUUAAGGUGCUCUGGGGACCAAAACGCGGGUGGUGGAACAUGUACAUAAAAAUGGUCGCUCGACCAUGAAAAUGUGUGCUAUAGCUUACGAGAGGCCAUAAACAGCCUUUGCUGUCUCAGUGGCCAAAUCAUGGGUGGCGGACGGGAGGCAUGAAAUCGUUGUUUGACAAUGAAAACAUGUGUCACGGGAGGACAAAAAUAGCCUUACCGGCCUCCGGGGACCAAAAUGUGUACUAUGGUUUGGACACUAAAAUUCUACUAUGUCAACAAAGUUGAUAAGGUUGGGAGACUCAAAUUUCAUUUUACCAUGGUUUCGACACUAAAAUCCUUUAGUGUCGAUGUUUAGGUUGAGGGUUUAGGGAUAGGAUUUAGGGUCUAGGUUUCCAUAAAAUCGUGUGCUAUAGCUCACGGGUGGCAAAAAAAUGCCAUAACGGCCUCCCCGGUCUAAAACGAAGGUGACAGGUCGGAUACAUAAAAUUGGUUGUUUGGCCACGGAAAUGUGUGAUAAAGCUCGCGGGAGGCCAAGAACCGCUUUAAGGUGCUCCGCGGACAAAAACACGUGUGGCGGAACGCGGACAUAAAAAUGGUCGCUGGGCCAUGUAAACGUGUGCUAUAGCUCACGGGAGGCCAAAACAGCCUUACCAGACUCAAUGGUCAAAUCAUGGGUGGCGGACGGGAGGCACGAAAUCGCUGUUCGAUGACAAAAGCAUGUGUCAUGGGAGGCCCUAAAACCUAAACCCUAAACCCUAAACUCUACAGCUUGUGGGAAGCCAAGAACAACUUUAAGGUGCUCUAGGGACCAAAACGCGGGUGGUGGAACACGUACUUGAAAAUGGUCGCUCGACCAUGAAAACGUGUGCUAUAGCUUACGGGAGGCCAUAAACAGCCUUAGCAGUCUCAGUGGCCAAAUCAUGGGUGGCGGACGGGAGGCAUGAAAUCGUUGUUUGACGAUGAAAACAUGUGUCACGGGAGGCCAAAAAUAGCCUUACCGGCCUCCGGGGACCAAAAUGUGUACUAUGGUUUGGACACUAAAAUUCUACUAUGUCAGCAAAGUUGAUAUGGUUGGGAGACUCAAAUUUCAUUUUACCAUGGUUUCGACACUAAAAUCCUUUAGUGUCGAUGUUUAGGUUUAGGGUUUAGGGAUAGGAUUUAGGGUCUAGGUUUCCAUAAAAUCGUGUGCUAUAGCUCACGGGUGGCAAAAAAAAUGCCAUAACGGCCUCCCCGGUCUAAAACGAAGGUGGCAGGUCGGAUACAUAAAAUUGGUUGUUUGGCCACGGAAAUGUGUGAUAUAGCUCGUGGGAGGC